Molecule: long non-coding RNA, 266 nt
Organism: Ipomoea nil (Japanese morning glory)
Lineage: Eukaryota; Viridiplantae; Streptophyta; Magnoliopsida; Solanales; Convolvulaceae
Exons: 2
Source: RefSeq, a predicted model, not a curated record
CAGUAGACAGACCAGUAGACAAGAUAAAUACAUCAGUAAAAUAAUAUCUAAUAUGGGGAUAACCCUGACCGAGAUGGCUAAGGAUAAAAACUUGUAAUCACAAGGUCACAAGUUUGAAUCCCAGUCCUCUUGGUUUGAGCCGGUCAGCUAUGGGCAACCUAGGCUGGUUUACCUACAUGUGGUCCUUUGCCGGCUAGGGUCACAAGGCGAGGUUUACCCAAUGCACACCCUCGGGUAGUGGCUGCGGGUUUCCCUGGUCCAAGCCA